CAGAGGAUGUUUUUUGACAGAGAAGGGGACUAUGAAUUGAGGGGGAAAUUAAAUCUGAAGACUCUUAAAGCACAGACAAAGGUUAAAACCUUUUGUGUUACUAUUUAUGGGGUAAAACUGUGGAAUAGUUUUACUGUGGACCUACAGCAAUGCUCAAGCAUUAGUCAGUUCAUAAAGAUGUUUCGAAAACUGCUUUUGGAAGAAUAUGAAACUGAUAAAGUUGAUCACCCAUUGUAUGUAUAAAUAUACUAAAUUCUAUCUAAAUUCUAUCUAUUUCUGUAGAUAUGUUUAUACAUGUUCUCCUUGUUUAUUGUGUGGGGUAAGUGAUGAUGGGAAUUAGGUGAAUAGUGGGAUUCAACAAAAUGUUGAGCAGGGGGUAGGGAUUAAUAAGUAUGUUAUACUUCUUCCUACUCCAUUUCAGACCUAAUAAUUGUCAUUUCAUGUCAUUUAGACUUUGUUUUAUUUUAUUUUUUUUUGUUUUAUCUGAGCACAUACGUGUGUGUGUGUAUUUACAUAUAUAUUCGUAUUUGUAAAUGAAAGUAUGUGUAGUUGUGUAUAUAUUGGUUUUUUUUUCUGUAUAUGUCUGAAAUAAAGAUACAAUACAAAUACAAACCUGUAAAGGAGAAGACUCACCUGCUCACCUGCCUGCCCACUCUCCACCGAUCCACCCUACUGUGGAAACUAGCCUCCUCCCCCAAAGCACCUCCCACUCAAAUAAGACCAUUUCCAGGUUCCACAAUCCAGUCCACAAAUCACGACCUCCGGUUGAACCAUUGCUAACUCUGUUCCUCAUCCUCCCCAGACCUCACAUGCGCACGCUCAGUCCCACAACUUCCACCACAUUAGAUAUGCUUAUUCGCCAACUUGAAAAUAAACACUUGAUACACACAAACUCCCAUCUGAGCGCAUUUUCUGAGUCCAUGCCAAUCCUUAGUAUGGCUCAGUGUUUCUGAGUGUAGAAUGCAUUGACCGAAGAUGAAACGCUUGUAAAAUAAGAAACAUAUUUCAUGAUCUAAAAGGUUAUUUAGGCUUCCAAUCAACAGCAAAGACUAACAAAAAAAACAUGAAACUGACCAGUGACCUCUUGAAGGGGCCAAUGAAUCAUUAGUUGUCUAAUCACUUAUCUUUGUUCUUUGGUCAACUCUGUUUUAAACAUGUUACAUAAAUACCUUUAACCUUUAACCUUUAAACUAACAGAAACAACCAAUCCUCUA
Long non-coding RNA from Astatotilapia calliptera (eastern happy), 1214 nucleotides. The record is from Ensembl. Lineage: Eukaryota; Metazoa; Chordata; Actinopteri; Cichliformes; Cichlidae.